AAAAUGUGUCUGGAAUUGGUGAGUUCUUGGUCUUACUGACUUUAAGAAUGAAGUUGCGGACUUCUGCGGUGAUCCACCCUACCACAUAUUGUCUCCUAAUGGCCGUCCAGUUUAUCCUAGAGCCCUUGUAUGACACAGGCCUAUUGAAGCAUAGGAGAUGCCAAUAUUUUACCUCUUGGGUACUUUCUGUGUAGAAGAUUCAUAACAAGAACAAUACUUAUUCUGUAAUUCUUUAUAUAAAGUAAGAAGAAAGCCCAAAGACAAAACCAGAGGCAACUGGCUGCUGCAUCACCCACCUAGUGGCAGUAGUGUGAGCUAUGGACAAAAGAUCUAAGUCUCCAGGACAAAGAGUUGUGCAGCUGCUCAUUUUCCUGUUGACUUCUGUCUAAGACUUGGAGAUGUUUGUAAGAUUGGGACCUACCUACAGAGCUCCAGAGGGAAGUGAGAAGGAUGUUCACUUGCUGGUGAGAGAAGGAGCUGGUU
This 483-nucleotide non-coding RNA is filed under the name Pan troglodytes (chimpanzee). Lineage: Eukaryota; Metazoa; Chordata; Mammalia; Primates; Hominidae. The record is from RNAcentral.